This 460-nucleotide ribosomal RNA is filed under the name uncultured bacterium. Its description in RNAcentral is "partial 16S ribosomal RNA". It matches the Rfam family "Bacterial small subunit ribosomal RNA", at positions 338 to 795 of the family's 1533-position model. The record is from RNAcentral.
CCUACGGGAGGCAGCAGUGAGGAAUAUUGGUCAAUGGACGAGAGUCUGAACCAGCCAAGUAGCGUGAAGGAUGACUGCCCUACGGGUUGUAAACUUCUUUUAUAUAGGAAUAAAGUGAGGCACGUGUGCCUCUUUGUAUGUACUUUAUGAAUAAGGAUCGGCGAAAUUCGUGCCAGCAGCCGCGGUAAUACGGAGGAUCCGAGCGUUAUCCGGAUUUAUUGGGUUUAAAGGGAGCGUAGGUGGGUUUUUAAGUCAGUUGUGAAAGUUUGCGGCUCAACCGUAGAAUUGCAGUUGAAACUGGAAGUCUUGAGUGCAGUUGAGGAAGGCGGAAUUCAUGGUGUAGCGGUGAAAUGCUUAGAUAUCACGAAGAACUCCGAUUGCGAAGGCAGCUUACUGGGCUGCCACUGACGUUGAGGCUCGAAAGUGUGGGUAUCAAACAGGAUUAGAUACCCGUGUAGUC